This 305-nucleotide long non-coding RNA is filed under the name Lathyrus oleraceus (garden pea). Its description in RNAcentral is "Pisum sativum (pea) long non-coding RNA (PSAT_LNC003181)". Lineage: Eukaryota; Viridiplantae; Streptophyta; Magnoliopsida; Fabales; Fabaceae. The record is from RNAcentral.
AUGGUUGAUGAUGAAGUUUUUUUUUAAUUUUCUUUGUUUAAAUAUUCUAUAAGCCAUUUGUAUGGAAGGAUAUUAGUUACGUUCUUUCUACUCAUGUGUGAGUGCUUACUUCUGAUGUUGUGAUUGUCAUUGAGUCAGCUGAAUAUUUGGUUUCUUUUGUGCCUUUUAUGGGGAUGAUUAUCUAGUUUUUUUUAUUAUUUGGUUGCAAUCCCUUAAAGGCUGGAUAAUAUGUCUCCAUCCUUUAUCCAUUUAUUGAAAAUAGUGGGAGUAAAAAUUCACUUACUUUACACUUACAUUCUGGAUUU